Neodiprion fabricii is the source of this 2471-nucleotide long non-coding RNA. RefSeq lists it as uncharacterized. The record is from RefSeq and is a predicted model, not a curated record. The transcript has 2 exons. NCBI's taxonomy places the organism in Eukaryota, Metazoa, Arthropoda, Insecta, Hymenoptera, Diprionidae.
UCUGGAAAAUAAAAUACCAAAAUUCCUUCGAAUAGAACGACAUCCGCUGGAUAAAUCGUCGUGAUCUGAUUUUUUAAUCUGUAACAAGAUAAGAUAAAUCACAGAUUGUUUGAAUAAAUUAUUCGGCUUCAAAACAGUUUUAUAUUGACUUUGAAAAUUUGAUUCAUAUUCCGAACAAGUGAACUGCAGAAAUCAUGAGAAUUACAAUUUAUAUUUACAUAAUGGGCUUGUUAUUAAUUAAAUGACAAAUCAAAGCACGAUGAGUACAUAAAUACUGUUAUAUUUCCGCGAAGACUUGAUGUAAUAACUGCGUGAUAUGUUGCUUAUUAUGCUUUUGCGUCAAUAAAAUAUUCAACAAUCAUACGAUUUGUAAGAUUGCUGACACAAACCAAGUGAGAAUGCUGAAGAAAAAUAUUUUACCAAACUGUUUGUUAUUUUUCAUAAAACUCAAGACAAAGAAUGACCGUGACAAUCAGUACACGUUUUUUAUAUUAUCAAGCAUCCAUCCCAGCUCAGCGUGAAACUCCGCAUUGUUUGUAAACUCAUUCAAAAUCUGCUGAGUUUCACUUUACACAUGAUAAGGUGUCGAAUAUAAAAACGAUUGCAGAAUUCAACUUGGCAUCAGACAAACAGCAAGUGCAACAGACAAAAACUCCAACGUUUUUUAAAAAAAGGUACAAUUGUAAUUUACCGAAGAUUUGUCCGUUACUGAAAGAUUUUGAGUGAAGUUAUUUUGAACCAGACAAUGAAUAAAAUGCAUGGAAAACUUGUCCGAGCCUUGGCCAUUUUUGCGAUUGUUUCUGCCAUUGCAAUCAGCGAUACAGACGCAUGUAACAAGUGUGGUUACGACAAGUGUUCUGGUGGCUGUUCUGUACUUCAACUCCCAGCCCCAGUUCAUCAACCGACAUUCUCGCUGUGCAGCAGUUGCAACGAACCUUGCGAUGCUCCGACCUGGUACCCAAAACCAUAUUGCGGAGGCUGUUCGAGGCGCAAGUCUAUCCGUCUAAACAAUAACUGUGGCUAUUACAAUAAUUGUGGGUGUUAAUUCAAAAAUCUGUAAAUUCGAUGGUUAAUUAAUAUUUUUUUAUAAUUAAUUAAUAUGACUAUGAAUAAUAAUUAAUUAAUAUGACUUAGUAAUAAACAACGCAUAAUGUAGAACAACAGUAUAUACAACAAUAAAUGUCUUGUCUUUACAAGUUUCAAAGUAAACAUUGCUAAAAGUUUAAUUUUGCUUUCGUAUUAUUCGUUCCGCAUUUCUAACUUAGUUUCUUAGAUGUCAAAAAAAUAUUUCUUCUUAUGGCUGUUGGUCACAAUAGAACCAGUAUAAGUAAUAAUGGUUGAUGUAGGACGCAAAUUGCAUUGUUCAUCUGAACUUUCGAAAUCAGGCGUACGUAUUUUAUAGUGAUAUAAUUUUGGCAUAAACUGAUAAUAUGUAAACUAUUCAAUUUUAAAAGUUUUAAUUUGUCUGUUUAAAACAUAAUAUACAAGAUUUUUGUAAAAAAAAAAAAAUAGUACUUCUACCUUUAUCGACCAAACAAACUCACCCUUUUUCAUCCUAUAUUAAAUAAAAAAACGAACAGAAAGGGUUAAAAUUUCAACAAUGCAUUGCUCUUUUGACACUGGGCGCACAGCACAGUCGAGCGUUCCCUGGUUGGCUGUGCGACCAGCUGAGCGUAAGAGUAGCUUUUAUUUACGAAAUUAUUGUAAUUCCCAGUUCUCGUCUAGCGACCUCAAUAUUGCAUGAAAACAGUCUCACAAUGCCUCAUUUUACUCCUCAUUCUUUCAGGAAUUGCGUAAAGUAUCUCGGUUAUGCACUUUUUGGCCAGUGAGAUGCGGGAAAUGUAGGAAUAGUAACACAUGUCAAAAAACCACACGUUUUUUUAAACGAUUUUUGGGAUAUGAGUAAGUUUCUUGAAUACUGCUAGAAAAGAGUGACGCAUUGUCGAAAUUUGAACCCUUUCCGUUCGUCUGUUUAGUUAAUAUAGGAAGCGAAAGGGUGAGUUUGUUCGGUUGGUAAAGGUAGGAAUAAUACAUGACCUUAUAAAUAUUAUUCUCAGGCAUCGAAAUUACAUUGGUGCAGAAAAUCCAUGCCAAAUUCCAAACGGUUCUAAUAAGUGAUAUGUUUCACACCUUAUGACAACUAUUUUCACACCUAGUUAUAACUGCAAAAAACAAAAUCACACGAAUCUCAAAGUCAUCUCAAUUUCAAUCUAAUAUACGAGAUAUUUGCAGUCAAAGAAUAAGUUAACAAAUCAAUCAAUUUCGAUUAACCAGCCCUCAAAAAAAUCAUUUCCGAGUGUAUCCUUUAUUUAGUGAUUAAAGUUCCUUUAUUUAGUCAUUGAAGAAGAAAAACUGUGCACCUUAACUCGAUUACCACAACACUUUCAGUCGAUAGUUUUUCAAAAAAAAUUUCCGUGAAAAUUCACUGUCCGUUAAGAAUUAAUGGACCUCGCCAUCUCUAUUGAAAAUUA